GACGAACGCUGGCGGCGUGCUUAACACAUGCAAGUCGAACGGAAAGGCCCUGCUUUUGUGGGGUGCUCGAGUGGCGAACGGGUGAGUAACACGUGAGUAACCUGCCCUUGACUUUGGGAUAACUUCAGGAAACUGGGGCUAAUACCGGAUAGGAGCUCCUGCUGCAUGGUGGGGGUUGGAAAGUUUCGGCGGUUGGGGAUGGACUCGCGGCUUAUCAGCUUGUUGGUGGGGUAGUGGCUUACCAAGGCUUUGACGGGUAGCCGGCCUGAGAGGGUGACCGGCCACAUGGGGACUGAGGUACGGCCCAGACUCCUACGGGAGGCAGCAGUGGGGAAUAUGGCACAAUGGGCGGAAGCCUGAUGCAGCAACGCCGCGUGCGGGAUGACGGCCUUCGGGUUGUAAACCGCUUUCGCCUGUGACGAAGCGUGAGUGACGGUAAUGGGUAAAGAAGCACCGGCUAACUACGUG
Molecule: ribosomal RNA, 468 nt
Filed under: uncultured bacterium
Lineage: Bacteria
Description: partial 16S ribosomal RNA
Rfam family: Bacterial small subunit ribosomal RNA
Source: RNAcentral